RNAcentral lists this ribosomal RNA (478 nucleotides) under uncultured bacterium. RNAcentral describes it as "partial 16S ribosomal RNA". It matches the Rfam family "Bacterial small subunit ribosomal RNA", at positions 28 to 523 of the family's 1533-position model. The record is from RNAcentral.
GACGAACGCUGGCGGCGUGCUUAACACAUGCAAGUCGAACGGUAAGGCCCUUCGGGGUACACGAGUGGCGAACGGGUGAGUAACACGUGGGUGAUCUGCCCUGCACUUCGGGAUAAGCCUGGGAAACUGGGUCUAAUACCGGAUAGGACUCCUGGCUUCAUGGUUGGGGGUGGAAAGCUUUUGCGGCGUGGGAUGGGCCCGCGGCCUAUCAGCUUGUCGGUGGGGUAAUGGCCUACCAAGGCGACGACGGGUAGCCGGCCUGAGAGGGUGACCGGUCACACGGGCACUGAGAUACGGCCCAGACUCCUACGGGAGGCAGCAGUGGGGAAUAUUGCACAAUGGGCGCAAGCCUGAUGCAGCGACGCCGCGUGAGGGAUGACGGCCUUCGGGUUGUAAACCUCUUUCAGCUAUGACGAAGCGCAAGUGACGGUAGUAGCAGAAGAAGGACCGGCCAACUACGUGCCAGCCGCCGCGGUAA